RNAcentral lists this ribosomal RNA (301 nucleotides) under uncultured bacterium. RNAcentral describes it as "partial 16S ribosomal RNA". It matches the Rfam family "Bacterial small subunit ribosomal RNA", at positions 509 to 809 of the family's 1533-position model. The record is from RNAcentral.
CAGCAGCCGCGGUAAUACGGAGGGGGCUAGCGUUGUUCGGAAUUACUGGGCGUAAAGCGCACGUAGGCGGUUUUGUAAGUCAGAGGUGAAAGCCCGGAGCUCAACUCCGGAACUGCCUUUGAGACUGCAUCACUUGAACGUCGGAGAGGUGAGUGGAAUUCCGAGUGUAGAGGUGAAAUUCGUAGAUAUUCGGAAGAACACCAGUGGCGAAGGCGGCUCACUGGACGACUGUUGACGCUGAGGUGCGAAAGCGUGGGGAGCAAACAGGAUUAGAUACCCCCGUAGUCCCUGUCUCUUAUAA